This 251-nucleotide ribosomal RNA is filed under the name uncultured bacterium. RNAcentral describes it as "partial 16S ribosomal RNA". It matches the Rfam family "Bacterial small subunit ribosomal RNA", at positions 1249 to 1500 of the family's 1533-position model. The record is from RNAcentral.
GCAAGACCGUGAGGUGGAGCAAAACUCAAAAACUUGUCUCAGUUCGGAUUGUAGGCUGAAACUCGCCUACAUGAAGCUGGAGUUGCUAGUAAUCGCGAAUCAGAAUGUCGCGGUGAAUACGUUCCCGGGCCUUGUACACACCGCCCGUCACACCAUGAGAGUCGAUAACACCCGAAGCCUGUGAGCUAACCGUAAGGAGGCAGCAGUCGAAGGUGGGGUUGAUGAUUGGGGUGAAGUCGUAACAAGGUAUC